This 501-nucleotide long non-coding RNA is filed under the name Linum usitatissimum (flax). Its description in RNAcentral is "long non-coding RNA (LUSI_LNC001722)". The record is from RNAcentral. Lineage: Eukaryota; Viridiplantae; Streptophyta; Magnoliopsida; Malpighiales; Linaceae.
CUGAAAUGACAAGAACUGUGGAACUGCAGAAACCUUAUUGUUCGAAAACGACCACUGUGAUCCUCCUGGGUUCCUCAUAGUUACUGCUUCAGAAAACAAAAAGGAAGAAUUGGGUUUAGCCGUUGUAGUAACCCCACUCUUAUAUCAUCUCACACUUAGGAUCCCAUCUUUGUAUAGCAAACAAUUAAGUUCAUUAAAUAUAAAUAAUCUAGGACAGUCAACAGUCGGGAGAGAAGAUUAGCCAGCUAAGAAACUUGAUUAGUUCACAUUAAGUAAUCACUAUCUGACAAUCACAUGAGCAAAAUAAAUAAACUAGAAAGCCCUUAUUUUUCUUUUUCUUCAUGAAGCACGUUCUGAAACCAUUACAGAGAGAAUCCUGGAUUAAAGUAUUCACAAAGACCCAGGUAUUCAUUCAUAACUUAUAGCAGCUGGGGGGAGAAAUAAUGGAAUCAACAUUAAAUAAUAUAGUCAAACAAACCUAAGACAGCCAGCUAAUUCAAC